ACGCACGUGUGAAACUUGAAGGAAUUGACGGAAGGGCACCACAAGAACGCGUGGAGCAUGUGGCUUAAUUUGACUCAACGCGGGAAAUCUUACCGGGUCCGGACACACUGAGGAUUGACAGGCAAUAUUAAAUAAAGAAAAUUUUUGGACUAUCUGAUAUUUAUGUUAAAUAUGCUAGUCCUUUCAUGAUUAUGUGAUAGGUGGUGCAUGGCCGUUCUUAGUUCGUGGAGUGAUCUGUCUGCUUAAUUGCGUUUCACUAAGGGCUUAUCUAAUUAUAACGUGUGUUGCUAGAGUUUUAUACCUUUGUGACCCCUUUAAUUAGUGUGUGUCUAUAAUGGUAGCUUUGGCUCACACAAUUAAGUCCUGAAAGCAACGAACGUGACCG
RNAcentral lists this ribosomal RNA (385 nucleotides) under Foraminifera environmental sample. RNAcentral describes it as "SSU rRNA". It matches the Rfam family "Eukaryotic small subunit ribosomal RNA", at positions 1129 to 1436 of the family's 1831-position model. Lineage: Eukaryota; Foraminifera. The record is from RNAcentral.